UUAAUUGAAGCCAAAAUCUUAAAGAGGCAUUUUAUUGUUAAUAAAAAUAAUGAACCAAGUUCCAAUUAAA
Molecule: transfer RNA, 70 nt
Filed under: Japanagallia multispina
Lineage: Eukaryota; Metazoa; Arthropoda; Insecta; Hemiptera; Cicadellidae
Description: tRNA-Asn
Source: RNAcentral